Molecule: transfer RNA, 86 nt
Filed under: Ignavibacteria bacterium
Lineage: Bacteria; Pseudomonadati; Ignavibacteriota; Ignavibacteria
Also listed under: 1 other name
Description: tRNA-Leu
Rfam family: tRNA
About the family: Transfer RNA (tRNA) molecules are approximately 80 nucleotides in length. Their secondary structure includes four short double-helical elements and three loops (D, anti-codon, and T loops).
Source: RNAcentral
GCCGGGAUGGCGGAAUUGGUAGACGCACAGGACUUAAAAUCCUGUGGGAAGUUUUUCCCGUGCCGGUUCGACUCCGGCUCUCGGUA